AUGUGUAACCAAGUUUUUUUUUUUUUGGUUUUUUGCGAUGAAUUUGUAAUCUGUUCAACCUCUUACGAAGAGAGCUGGGCGGCCAGUUGCGCGGGAGUACAUGUUUUCAGAGAAAAACAACUACUCUAUUAUUCCAUCAGCAUCUAUCUUUUCUAUAUAUUUUUUCUAACCAAUGCGUCGUCUAUUUCAGAUGGAUUGGUGGCUUCAUCUGUGGCCAAAAGGAAGGACUCAGCCUGCCUACAUGACGACAAUUCUCGAACUGAUAAAAGAUCGAGAUAUUCAGGACCACCCCUUCCAGAGGACAUAUGGCACUAUAUACAUUCCCUGCUUCCUCUGCGAGAUGCUGCACGUGUUGCAUGCGUGUCACAUUCAUUUAGAAGUUAUUGGAGACGUUUUCCCAAUCUCAGCUUAACUAGGGCAACCCUGGGUUUGAAAAGCGGGGUGUAUGGAAUGUCAUGUAAAAAAGCGAUAGAUCUUGCCAGGAAAACCAACCACAUUCUAGGAAACCACUCAGGCAUUGGCGUUACAACACUCAAGCUUGAAAUAUGUGAUUUCCCCCUUUUCAACACCUCCCGUGAUGAUCUCGAUCGUUGGCUUGGUAUUGCGGUUAAACCAGGGAUUGAAGAACUUGACCUGGGGUUUUGUUCUCAUGCAGCUAUGUACAACUUCCCAUUCUCAAUUUUACCUGUUGGGUGGGACAAGUCAAUUCGACAGCUUCAUCUCACCAACUGUGCCUUCCGUCCCACGGCUGGAGUUGACUAUUUAAGAAGCCUGACUAGUCUGGAUUUUGAUUAUGUGCAUAUUACAGAGGAUCAGUUAAGUCGCCUUCUUUCCAGUACAGUUCAUUUGGAGAAACUGAGACUCAUGGCAUGCAAUGAGUUAAUUGCUCUGGAGAUACCUAGCUUGCUGCAUCGGCUUAGCCACAUGGUAGUCAACAAUUGCGGAUAUCUGGAAGUGAUAAGGUGCAAAGCUCCUAAUCUCUGCAGUUUUGAGUAUAUGGGCGUCUUGCCACAACUAUCACUUGGUGAUUCAUUGUGAUACCUUGACAUGCGUGCUUCAUAUGGGGAUGUUGUUCAUUAUGCUUGUGCCAAUCUUCCGCACAUGGUGCCAAAUCUUGAAGCUCUUUACAUAUCUUCGUCCUACAUGAGGAAUGCAGUGGUGGCACCUGGAAAAUUCCUGCAUGUCAAGGAUCUGCUCAUUGGGGUCUUAUCCCCAGACUAUGAUUAUUUCUCUCUGGUUUCUUUUCUUGAUGGGUGUCCUUCCCUGGAGACUUUCAUGUUGUAUGUACAGUGGGGGGAUCACAUGGAGCAAGAAUCAGUUUUAGGAAAUUCUUCUCAUGAUCUAAGACAGAUGCCAGGACACUUGCAUAGGAACAUCAAGAAUGUGCAGAUCAUUGGCUUCUGUUCUGCAAAGAGUAUAGUUGAGUUGACAUGCCAUAUGCUUGAGAAUGCGAAGUCGCUUGGGUGCCUUACACUGAGCACCUGUUUCGAGGGUGAAAAUUCGUGUUCCGACGGUGAAUACGAUAUAUGCCUCCCAAUGAACAGGGAUAUGAUCAUGGAAGCCCAUAAAGCACUCUUGGUCAUGGAGAGAUACAUUUUGCGGAAAGUUCCCUCAAUGGCCGAGUUAAAAGUUAUAGAGCCUUGUAGCCGGUGCAAUGCUCUUGAAAUUUAA
Molecule: ribosomal RNA, 1671 nt
Filed under: Triticum aestivum (bread wheat)
Lineage: Eukaryota; Viridiplantae; Streptophyta; Magnoliopsida; Poales; Poaceae
Description: partial small subunit ribosomal RNA
Source: RNAcentral